AUCAAUUACCGGCAGAGGCUUUAGGAAGGGUGUUCCGAGCAAAUCUUGAUCUUCUAGUUGCUUACAAAGAUCAAGUUGCAGGUCUUAUGUCUCCCUUGUCUCUGUAACUUAGUUGUAACAUUCAUGGGGUUAGAUUGAUGUCAUUUGUAUCUAUUGCUUGGCCUAAACUCCUCACAGUAGUUGUUUUGUAAGUGUUUAAUUUUCAUGUAUUUUGUACUGAUUGCAGAAGCUGCUAAGGAGGAAGAAGCUGAAGAUGAGGAUGAUGGGAUGAUGCCGAUACUAUCACACUUCGAAAGUCGGCUGAGCUGGUAUCUGAAUAUGAUGGCUUAAAAAACAUUUGCUUGCAUAUAAACGAGUUCUAUAGUAUGUCUGUAUGCAUGUAU
RNAcentral lists this long non-coding RNA (383 nucleotides) under Vigna radiata. RNAcentral's name for it is "long non-coding RNA (VRAD_LNC003215)". Lineage: Eukaryota; Viridiplantae; Streptophyta; Magnoliopsida; Fabales; Fabaceae. The record is from RNAcentral.